UCAGUGGCGGACGGGUGAGUAUAAGCAAGGAACGUACCCUUUACUGUGACAUAGCUCGUCGAAAGACGGGGUAAUAUCGCAUGAUCCCUUACGGGCAAAGCGCUUAACCGCGCGGUAUUGGAGCGGCCUUGUGUCUAUCAGCUAGUUGGUGGGGUAAAGGCCUACCAAGGCGACGACGGAUAGGGGGCGUGAGAGCGCGACCCCCCACAAUGGCACUGAAACACGGUCCAGACGCCUACGGGUGGCAGCAGUUAGGAAUAUUGGACAAUGGGCGAAAGCCUGAUCCAGCAACACCGCGUGAAGGAUGAAGGCCUUCGGGUCGUAAACUUCUUUUAAGGGAGACGAGAAAGGACGGUAUCCCUGGAAUAAGUCACGGCUAACUACGUGCCAGCAGCCGCGGUAAAACGUAGGUGGCGAGCGUUAUCCGGAUUUACUGGGCGUAAAGAGCUUGUAGGUGGUUUUGUAAGUUGGAUGUGAAAUCUCCGGGCUUAACUUGGAGAGGCCAUUCAAUACUGCAAGACUAGAGGAUGUUUGAGGGAAGUGGAAUUUCUGGUGUAGUAGUGAAAUGCGUAGAUAUCAGAAGGAACACCCGUGGCGAAGGCGGCUUCCUAGGACAUACCUGACACUGAGAAGCGACAGCUAGGGGAGCAAACAGGAUUAGAAACCCUGGUAGUCCUAGCCGUAAACGAUGAAUACUAGGUGUUGGCGGACUUAACCCCGCCUGUGCCGAAGCUAACGCGUUAAGUAUUCCGCCUGGGAACUACGAUCGCAAGAUUAAAACUCAAAGGAAUUGACGGGGACCCGCACAAGCAGCGGAGCGUGUGGUUUAAUUCGAUGCUACACGAAGAACCUUACCCAGGUUUGACAUAUAGGUAGUAGUGAACCGAAAGGGGAACGACCCGCAAGGGAGCUUAUACAGGUGUUGCAUGGCUGUCGUCAGCUCGUGUCGUGAGAUGUUCGUUUAAGUACGCUAACGAGCGCAACCCCCGUCCUUAGUUGCUACCAUUUAGUUGAGCACUCUAGGGAGACUGCCGGUGAUAAGCCGCGAGGAAGGUGGGGAUGACGUCAAGUCCUCAUGGCCCUUACGGGCUGGGCUACACACGUGCUACAAUGGUGGUGACAGUGGGAUGCGAUGGGGCGACCCCGAGCAAAUCUCCAAAAGCCAUCUCAGUUCGGAUUGCACUCUGCAACUCGAGUGCAUGAAGGUGGAAUCGCUAGUAAUCGUAGAUCAGCACGCUACGGUGAAUACGUUCCCGGGCCUUGCACUCACCGCCCGUC
RNAcentral lists this ribosomal RNA (1278 nucleotides) under uncultured bacterium. RNAcentral's name for it is "partial 16S ribosomal RNA". It matches the Rfam family "Bacterial small subunit ribosomal RNA", at positions 92 to 1398 of the family's 1533-position model. The record is from RNAcentral.